This 846-nucleotide long non-coding RNA is filed under the name Homo sapiens (human). RNAcentral describes it as "HSALNT0179424". Lineage: Eukaryota; Metazoa; Chordata; Mammalia; Primates; Hominidae. The record is from RNAcentral.
CGGCGGCGCGGCUGGGUGAGCGGAGGCAGAGAGGAUCUUCGCACCCAGAGCCGAGGCUGUACGCGAGGGAGCGCAGCUCGGGGACGAGCCGCCUCCCCACCCCCGCGACGCCGUGCCCGGCUCCGGGGCGCAAGCGCUAUGGCAGGACCCCUUUCCCUUCUUCUAGCUCUUCUGAGAACCCUGGAGGGUAUACACAUUCCAACUGGGAGAUCCAUUUGAUUUCUGCUUCAAGUUAAGAUGUUUUGUAUCUUUACCAUAAAGUGAUUGAUGAUUAGAAGCUGAGGAGAAUUGAUAACACAAGAAGAUAAUGCAUUUCGAAGAGGUUUUGGAAACAAACAGCAACAGAAAAAGGUAAGAAGAGGCCAGCUGCCGUGGCUCACACCUGAAAUCCUGAAAUCCUAGCACUUUGAGAGGCCGAGGCAGGUGAAUCAUCCGAGGUCAGGAAUUCGAGAUCAGCCCGGCUAGUACGGUGAAACUCCGUCUCUGCUAAAACUACAAAAAAAUUAGCCGGACAUAGUGCUGCAUGCCUGUAGUCCCACCUACUCGGGAGGCUGAGGCAAGAGAAUCACUUGAACCUGGGAGGCAGAGGUUGCAGUGAGCUAAGAUUGCUCCACUGCACUCCAGCCUGGGCGACAGAGUGAGACUCCAUCUCAAAAAAAAAGUAAGAAGAAUUAUCAAUUAUAGAAAGAACCAAUAAUGAUGAUAAAAGUACCAAUAAUAAUUACCAUUGUAUUGCAUUAAACACUGUUUUAGGUGUUUGCCUAUGUUAUUAGCAUUUACCCCUCAUUCUUAUAACAAAUCAUUUUAUGGAUGAGAAAAUUGAGACUUGGAGGGUUUAAGAAACUU